This is a long non-coding RNA of Vicia villosa (hairy vetch), 1464 nucleotides long. RefSeq lists it as uncharacterized. The record is from RefSeq and is a predicted model, not a curated record. The transcript has 3 exons. Lineage: Eukaryota; Viridiplantae; Streptophyta; Magnoliopsida; Fabales; Fabaceae.
ACUCCUCUUCUCGCUCUCGUCUUUACCUCUCUUUCUCAUGAACGGCGCGCGACGGUGCUGCGACGGAGAUCCUUCUCCGGUCGAUUCAUCUUCUUUCCCUCGCCGUGACUCAACUCUCCGAUUAGCUCUCCUCUCAAACGAAUCUCUCUCUAUUAGCUCUCACUGUGUUCGUUCUGUUGAAGUUGAUGUGAAGGUGUCGUUAUUGUUGCGUGGUUGCGAUGAUAAUGAUGAACAAUAUGAUGAUUGCCGAAAGCGAUUCGAAGAUAACGAACGAAAUCGCGUUGAAGAUUGCUGGUCGCAUUCUUGAAGGUGAUGGAGAUCGAUGUUGAUUUGCAGAGAUUCAAGGCGGAUGCUUGGGUUGAAGUAUGAAGAUUGGCCGUUGCAGGAUUGCGGUUGAAGAGGUAUAAACGGUUAUUGAAGAAAAGAGAAAGAUGAAGAUUGGUGGUUAGAGGUGUGAAGAAGAUGAAGAGAGAAUUGAUGGAUUCUUUUACGGUUCAGUUAAAGGUUUGUUACCCUUCUUUCUCUCUCAAUCUUCUUCUCCUUUUCUGUUAUGAACUUCUCUGAUCUUUUCUGUAUUUUUAUUUCCUGGUGAUUGAAUUGGAGAUUUUUGGUGGUGAUUGAAGAUUGGAAGAAGAAGGUUGAAGAUUGAGUGGGAUGAAGAGUGUGGAGAAGAGGAAGGAGAUGAUGAAGUUGCAGAGAGUGAGGAUUGAUUUGGUGAUGGUUAAUGGAGGCUCUGAAGAUUGAAGGUGUUGGAAGGAGAGUGGCGUGUAGCUCUGUGGUAUGAAGUGUUGAUGGUGAUGAAUGAGGAGUGGUGGAGAAAGAGGAGAGAGUGGCGGAGGAAAAUGAAGAGAGAAUCCAGAGGAAACUCAGAGAUGAAGAGAUCUGUUAUAUAGAGGUUCCCCCGGGUAUGAUUUUUGGGUCUGAACUGGGGCUUUUUCAUCUGUUUUGUUGUUGCAAGUUCUGAAUUGAUGCAGGGCUAUAUUGGAUGAUGUUCAGUUUCGAAUCGACUUUGGUGGCGGUAAUUCUAUGUUUUAUUUUGAAGCCGGUUAGUGAACUGUAUGGUGAGGAGUGAUGCUGUAUGUAUAUACUUGUGCAGGCUGCUCUUCUUUUUUCUUUUUUUUUUAUACGCAGGAAUGGUGUUGAACUGGCUUCGGUUUAUUGUUGUGUGCAAGGCUGGAAUUUGAAUUGAAUGCUGCUGGUUUGUGAAAUGGUUUUGUAACUGUUAGUAGGUUUAUGUUUGGAUAGUGUGAAUGAAAUGGAUACAUGAGGUAGCAAAGGGUAUGGCAACAACAAGGCAUGAAAUGGAAGAUCAUGAGAAAACUUAGUCUAUAAAUUUUGUAAUAUUCUUUUUUGAUCUUUAUACUUUUCCUUCCAUCUUGUACUUGAAAUUUGUAAAGGAUUUGAAUUUUUGUAAUGGGAUCGGAUGAAUGUAUAGACACUUGAAUUUGUCUUGAUGAAAUUGGU